Molecule: ribosomal RNA, 254 nt
Filed under: uncultured bacterium
Lineage: Bacteria
Description: partial 16S ribosomal RNA
Rfam family: Bacterial small subunit ribosomal RNA
Source: RNAcentral
CGGAGGGUGCAAGCGUUAUCCGGAUUUACUGGGUUUAAAGGGUGCGCAGGUGGAUAUAUAAGUCAGUGGUGAAAUACUCCGAGCUUAACUCGGAAACUGCCGUUGAUACUAUGUAUCUUGAAUCUUCUGGAGGUAAGCGGAAUAUGUCAUGUAGCGGUGAAAUGCUUAGAUAUGACAUAGAACACCAAUUGCGAAGGCAGCUUACUACGGGAGCAUUGACACUCAGGCACGAAAGCGUGGGAGCAAACAGGAUU